GAAGAAUAGGAAAAUGCCAAAUGAUGAUCAUAAGUUGGUAGCAAGAAGAAAUGAUCAUCUGAGAAGAUUGGAAUGAUCUAGAUCAUUUUUCCUGAUUUUUGGACGUUAUAUCACUUGGUCGACAAUCUGGACAUGCUGAUUUCAGUAACAAAGUCUUCACGAAUAGUUAUCCAAAAUUGAACACCAGGACUACCAAAUCUGUUGACACGACGAGUACCACACAGCUAGUACUUCAACAAACUCCAAAAACCUACAGCUUUCAACAAAAUUGACCAAGAUGACUAAAUACUCAUUCUCAUAUACACUCAUUCCUCUGCUCUUAUGAUACAACUUCAAUUAUAAUCCAUGUUACAGAUCAGCAGCACCAUAUACCUAGUACUCCAACAAACUCCAAAACCUACAGCUUUCGACAAAAUUGACCAAGGUUAGCAGUACCACACACCUAGUAUUCCAACAAGCUCCAAAAACCUACAGCUUUCGACAAAAUUGACCAAGGCCAGCAGUUGCACCCUUGGGAAACUACCAAACAGUAAAAAUUGGAACUAAUCCCGAUGAGCCCCAACGAGCAAUCCCAACGAGUAAAUCGUUCUCGAAGAGAACACGAGGACGUAGGCACUAAGGACGACCUUGUGCGCCCUGAGGCUCGUCUCGGCGCAGACCAGGGUCACGUCGACGAGUAUCUCCGCGUGCA
This is a long non-coding RNA of Eufriesea mexicana, 691 nucleotides long. RefSeq lists it as uncharacterized. The transcript has 5 exons. The record is from RefSeq and is a predicted model, not a curated record. NCBI's taxonomy places the organism in Eukaryota, Metazoa, Arthropoda, Insecta, Hymenoptera, Apidae.